CGGCAACAGCUCAAAUUUGAAACCUGCCAACAGGCCGGAUUGUAAUUUGUAGAGGAUGCUUUGGAGUUGGCUCUGAUCUAAGUUUCUUGGAACAGAACGUCACAGAGGGUGAGAAUCCCGUACGUGGUCGGUUGCCUUCUCUAUGUAAAGCUCCUUCGAC
This 160-nucleotide ribosomal RNA is filed under the name Corniculariella sp. Its description in RNAcentral is "partial large subunit ribosomal RNA". It matches the Rfam family "Eukaryotic large subunit ribosomal RNA", at positions 99 to 261 of the family's 3401-position model. Lineage: Eukaryota; Fungi; Ascomycota; Leotiomycetes; Helotiales; Dermateaceae. The record is from RNAcentral.